This 253-nucleotide ribosomal RNA is filed under the name uncultured bacterium. Its description in RNAcentral is "partial 16S ribosomal RNA". It matches the Rfam family "Bacterial small subunit ribosomal RNA", at positions 524 to 776 of the family's 1533-position model. The record is from RNAcentral.
UACGGAGGGGGCUAGCGUUGUUCGGAAUUACUGGGCGUAAAGCGUGCGCAGGCGGUUUUGUCAGCCCGAUGUUAAAUCCCCGGGCUUAACCUGGGAACUGCGCUUCUAACUGGCAGGCUUGAGUGUGGCAGAGGGGGGUGGAAUUCCACGUGUAGCAGUGAAAUGCGUAGAGAUGUGGAGGAACACCGAUGGCGAAGGCAGCCCCCUGGGCUAACACUGACGCUCAUGCACGAAAGCGUGGGGAGCAAACAGG